AACGCACAUUGCGCCUCUCUUUACCGGGAGGCAUGCCUGUCUGAGCGUCAUUUAAACCAUAGACAGACAUACAUUCAUUUGUUUUGUUUGUUUGUUUUGAUUUUCGCCUUAGGGCGUUACCCUAAAAUUAUGGGUCUAAAUUAACGGGACGAGAUCCUUCAAGGACUAAAACCGUGAAUCAGACCAGAUAAAAUUUCUGAUUUUGACCUCAGAUCAGGUAGGGAUACCGCCUGAACUUAA
This 240-nucleotide unclassified non-coding RNA is filed under the name uncultured fungus. RNAcentral describes it as "sequence contains ITS2". Lineage: Eukaryota; Fungi. The record is from RNAcentral.